AACGAACGCUGGCGGCAGGCCUAACACAUGCAAGUCGAACGCCGUAGCAAUACGGAGUGGCAGACGGGUGAGUAACACGUGGGAACAUACCCUUCGGUUCGGAAUAACUCAGGGAAACUUGUGCUAAUACCGGAUACGUCCGCAAGGAGAAAGAUUUAUCGCCGAAGGAUUGGCCCGCGUCUGAUUAGCUUGUUGGUGAGGUAAUGGCUCACCAAGGCGACGAUCAGUAGCUGGUCUGAGAGGAUGAUCAGCCACAUUGGGACUGAGACACGGCCCAAACUCCUACGGGAGGCAGCAGUGGGGAAUAUUGGACAAUGGGCGAAAGCCUGAUCAGCCAUGCCGCGUGAGUGAUGAAGGCCUUAGGGUUGUAAAGCUCUUUUACCUGGGAAGAUAAUGACGGUACCAGGAGAAUAAGCCCCGGCUAACUUCGUGCCAGCAGCCGCGGUAAUACGAAGGGGGCUAGCGUUGUUCGGAUUUACUGGGCGUAAAGCGCACGUAGGCGGAUCUUUAAGUCAGGGGUGAAAUCCCGAGGCUCAACCUCGGAACUGCCUUUGAUACUGGGGAUCUCGAGUCCGGGAGAGGUGAGUGGAACUGCGAGUGUAGAGGUGAAAUUCGUAGAUAUUCGCAAGAACACCAGUGGCGAAGGCGGCUCACUGGCCCGGUACUGACGCUGAGGUGCGAAAGCGUGGGGAGCAAACAGGAUUAGAUACCCUGGUAGUCCACGCCGUAAACGAUGGAUGCUAGCCGUUAGACAGCUUGCUGUUUAGUGGCGCAGUUAACGCUUUAAGCAUCCCGCCUGGGGAGUACGGUCGCAAGAUUA
Molecule: ribosomal RNA, 820 nt
Filed under: uncultured bacterium
Lineage: Bacteria
Description: bacterial SSU rRNA
Rfam family: Bacterial small subunit ribosomal RNA
Source: RNAcentral